UCUUUGCAGCUCCUCCACAGUUUGAGCCUCUUGGUUGCUUCUCUGAUUCAUCUUCUCCUUGCGGUCAGUUUGGGUGGACGGCCUUCUCUUGGUGGCUUUGUGGUUGUGCCAUAUUCUUUCCAUUUGUUGAUGAUGGAUUUUAUAAGUGUUCAAAGCUUGGAAUGGUUUUUUAGAAGCUAACCCUGCUUCAUACUUGGGUCAGCUCCUUGGUCUUCGUGAUGCUCUUUGUUCAGUAACCCUUUCUAACAGACUCUGAGGCCUUCACAGAUCACGUGCAUUUAUCUUGAGAUUAAAUAGCAGACCGGUGGACCCUAUCUGCUAAUUAUGUGACCAGAUCUUUAUGAGGAGUUUUACAGUAAAGGGGGUAAAUACUUAUGAAUAAACAUAUAUUUGCUGGGUAUGUUGGACAUACAAGGAAUUUGUCAUGGUGGGUGGUGCAUACAUGGCAUUAACAAUGUAGAGUUGAAUUAAUAUAUAUAUAUAUAUACAUAAUAUAAAAAACAGGGAAACUCUAGUAGCAAGUGUUCUUUGUUUAUUCUAAGCCUUAGCUAAACAAAAUGUAAAGUCAUAGUUUUAGUUGUGUUUAUGGAAAAGUAUUGUCCAACAUUCACGUCAUACAUAAAUGUAUUAAUAUCUCGCUGUAGAUGUUACAAUUCAACCGAGGGAAGGAGAAGCUGACAGAUACAGUGAGACGCCAACUAGGACGGUCACCAUGACACUGGGGACGGGGGACAUCACCAUGACACUGGGGACGGAGGACAGUCACCAUGACACUGGGGACGGCAAAGGGGUUUAGGACAGGAUAGUGUAGAGACACUGUGGGACAGCGAGGAGACAGAACGGAGGACCAGCAGGACGGAGUCAGCCAGUGAGUCCAAAUGCUACUUUAACAAUAAUACUGUGGAGUUCAAUGAGUACCUCAUUACCCAGAAUGCUCCUCAACACAAACUCAGCGUGAUGAAAUUCACUUCCUCUCACCAAAGCUUUUGGGUCAAAGGUGGUGAAGGAGGUCAAAGGUCUUGACCUUUGAAGAUGCUGAAGACCUUUGACCUUCUGAAUAUUACUAAACAAAAAAUGAGUUCAAACAUUUAUUAAUGUGUUGCUCAUAAACAUUCACGUGUUCAUGAAACUUCUUAACAAGGCGUAUUAUUUAUAAGUGAAGACAAACAUUUUAAUGGUAAUAAAACAUUAAUCAGAAACACAAUAUUGCACCCAACAAAAAGCCUUCUGACACCGUCAGCGAAUCAAGGGCACCUCCCAGAACGCACUGUGAUACACGUCCAUAUUUAGUGGCUCCUGACAGGAAACUACCAAGACAUUCAGAGUAAAGCUCUGCCAAAAGGGUUAAAACUAACGGAAGCGUUCAAUGAGUGUGAAGUUUUGAGCUUGAUAAAUGAUACAAUCAUGAAAAAUAAGAAGCUGGCAUUUUCUUACUUGCUGUUCUGAAUAUUUCUCUACUGAAUUCUCGGGUUUGUUAUUUGUAUAUGUCAGAUGUAUUCUAAAUAAUAUCAAUAACGUCGCUGACCGGAUCAUGUGACAUAAUCCUGCAUUUACUUCCUGGUUGUAGUCGAGCAACAUGAAAGCAACAAACCCAACAACUCAGGACAGACGUGACAAACGGAAAGGGGCGUGGUCAAAUUGAUGAGGUCAUUCAGUCUGUGAAAAAAAAACGCCGAAUAGAUUUAUUUUUUAGGCACGAAGGCAGAGAAUAAAAAACAGGGUUCUUUGAUUAAAAAGU
Gasterosteus aculeatus aculeatus (three-spined stickleback) is the source of this 1738-nucleotide long non-coding RNA. The record is from Ensembl. NCBI's taxonomy places the organism in Eukaryota, Metazoa, Chordata, Actinopteri, Perciformes, Gasterosteidae.